CAAACGUAUUUUGCACAUUUUUUGCUCGUUAUAAAGCAAUCUCGUGUGCGGAUAGAUAUCGAGAGUGUCGGACAAAGUACCGGGCGAUUGUGACAUAGCUUUAAUCAAUGCUGGCGAUAAUAAAUAACCGCCGUUUGCCGCGUCAUAAUCCGUGGUCUCGUUCGUGUGCGUAUGUGUGCGUAUAUGUGCCCAGGAUAUUCUGUCGAUACCAUAACUAAUGCCUGUCGGACUAAUCGUCGACGAUAAUUGCAUCAUUUUCUCGUGUAAUCGACUAUUAAAAGUGUCAAUCGAGCUAUCAAAUGGACAAAUUAAUUCAGGAGAGGAGGAAUUUGUAACUUUUCGUGCGGAAUUUACGCCGGCGCGAUGACACAAACUGGCAUAACAGCAGUCGCAUCUUACGAAUAUUUCCAGAAACGACACAUGCCUGCGGUCGUCCUUGGAGUCCUCGUGACUCUUCGAAAUGAACAUCGAGAACAUCCGUGAAAGGAUCGAUCGUUUCGACACAGAUUAGGCUUGGAUACACGUUCACCUCCUUAGUGUCAAACUACCUAAUCUAAUGCAGCGGCGGUUUCCUUGGAGGAUUCAUGAAACUGAAGUUCACCUUGCUGCCGCGUCGCAGGGAUCCAGCCCGCUGUUUUAAUCUCAGCUACGGUUUCUUCGUUCAGUGCCCUAUUGGAAGCUGUAAAACGACAACUCGACGGAUCUCUCGUAUCGGCCACAAGCAGCGCGCGGUGAGUCCUCCGCAAUCUUUCUCUUAAUCUCUGGCAGGCCGUUUUGCCGCCAGCGCGUUGCCGUUGCAAACCAUAAAACGUUAGGCGCAACGGCGCAGCGGCGUUGCGUUUCAUGGUGCUACAUUUAGCAGACUGUAAAGUACGACUUUAUUCCGAAGUUUUUAUAGUUGCGGCCGAAGCGCCCGGCCAUAAAUAAUCUUUUAUUACGGCCACGGGCGUGUUACGCACGAGUGCUAUUUGUUCAAUUCGUCCCACCGUGCUUCAUGCUUUUGACUUUGCGACUUGCGAGCCGGCAAAGAUCGCGUGUUACGGACGGACGUGUAACGAGCGAAUCGGCAAUUAUAAAUCUUACGGUAAUGCACGGAACAGAUGUCUAC
Long non-coding RNA from Harpegnathos saltator (Jerdon's jumping ant), 1108 nucleotides. RefSeq lists it as uncharacterized. The record is from RefSeq and is a predicted model, not a curated record. Lineage: Eukaryota; Metazoa; Arthropoda; Insecta; Hymenoptera; Formicidae. The transcript is spliced from 4 exons.